ACCCUAACCUCUUUGUCUUUGUCUUUGUGUGUCUUGUCAGUUUGUCUUUUUGCGACGUUUGUUUCUCGCGUUAUUACUAUAUCAGAGUUUUUAGACAUAAAGUAUUCAUAUUGAAGUUAGUUUUUGUCAAUUUUCAAUUUCUUUGUUCAUAGUUAAUUCCAUAGUGUUCGAUUUUAGAAGACUAACUGCAACAAAAGUGCUUGUGAGCCAACAAAACAUAAAGUAGAACCUCGAUAGUUCGACACUCCCUGUAGUUCGACACAGGCCGUGAUGACAAGACAUGGCAUCAGUGGCCGAUGACGGGUUCACCAAGGUUAAAAACUAGAGCAUUCUUAGUGUUUUCGUGCAUGGAAAAACUCAAUAGGAAAAGAGGAGUUAUUGGUGCACAGAAUAGGAACAUCAGGCUGAGGUUAUGCGACAGUAAAUAAUGUAUAAGUAAAAUGUCACUUAAUUUAACUCAUGUUCUAAUUUUCAAGUUUGUUUUAUACUUUAUAUUUUCAUAAAAUAAAUUUACUAUAACCAAUGUCACUUGCUACAUUUUAUUUAUACCCCCACAAAUAGUGAUAUUUUGGCUAUGUUUGAAGAACUGUUUUGAACUUUUAAACUUUUUGUUGAUCACUGAGAUGUCUUUUCUAAAGCAGGGUCUGGUGUAAUUUGAUGAGGCCUUAUUAAAAAUUAAAUGCUCUCACCCUUCACUCACAAGCUUGGCAGAAUAGGCUUAUUAUUUUUAACCUAACUCAGUUAUCCUAUACAACAUUUAAAUAAAGUGUUAUAGCAUCAUUUAUAGGUUUCUAGC
Molecule: long non-coding RNA, 796 nt
Organism: Macrosteles quadrilineatus (aster leafhopper)
Lineage: Eukaryota; Metazoa; Arthropoda; Insecta; Hemiptera; Cicadellidae
Exons: 3
Source: RefSeq, a predicted model, not a curated record